Molecule: ribosomal RNA, 466 nt
Filed under: uncultured bacterium
Lineage: Bacteria
Description: partial 16S ribosomal RNA
Rfam family: Bacterial small subunit ribosomal RNA
Source: RNAcentral
GAUGAACGCUGGCGGCGUGCUUAACACAUGCAAGUCGAACGAUGAAGCCCAGCUUGCUGGGUGGAUUAGUGGCGAACGGGUGAGUAACACGUGAGUAACCUGCCCUUAACUCUGGGAUAAGCCUGGGAAACUGGGCCUAAUACCGGAUAGGAGCGUCCACCGCAUGGUGGGUGUUGGAAAGAUUUAUCGGUUUUGGAUGGACUCGCGGCCUAUCAGCUUGUUGGUGAGGUAAUGGCUCACCAAGGCGACGACGGGUAGCCGGCCUGAGAGGGUGACCGGCCACACUGGGACUGAGACACGGCCCAGACUCCUACGGGAGGCAGCAGUGGGGAAUAUUGCACAAUGGGCGCAAGCCUGAUGCAGCGACGCCGCGUGAGGGAUGACGGCCUUCGGGUUGUAAACCUCUUUCAGCAGGGAAGAAGCGAAAGUGACGGUACCUGCAGAAGAAGCACCGGCUAACUACGUG